This 490-nucleotide ribosomal RNA is filed under the name uncultured bacterium. RNAcentral describes it as "partial 16S ribosomal RNA". It matches the Rfam family "Bacterial small subunit ribosomal RNA", at positions 30 to 507 of the family's 1533-position model. The record is from RNAcentral.
AUUGAACGCUGGCGGCAGGCCUAACACAUGCAAGUCGAACGGUAACAGGAAACAGCUUGCUGUUUCGCUGACGAGUGGCGGACGGGUGAGUAAUGUCUGGGAAACUGCCUGAUGGAGGGGGAUAACUACUGGAAACGGUAGCUAAUACCGCAUAACGUCGCAAGACCAAAGAGGGGGACCUUCGGGCCUCUUGCCAUCGGAUGUGCCCAGAUGGGAUUAGCUAGUAGGUGGGGUAACGGCUCACCUAGGCGACGAUCCCUAGCUGGUCUAAGAGGAUGACCAGCCACACUGGAACUGAGACACGGUCCAGACUCCUACGGGAGGCAGCAGUGGGGAAUAUUGCACAAUGGGCGCAAGCCUGAUGCAGCCAUGCCGCGUGUAUGAAGAAGGCCUUCGGGUUGUAAAGUACUUUCAGCGGGGAGGAAGGGAGUAAAGUUAAUACCUUUGCUCAUUGACGUUACCCGCAGAAGAAGCACCGGCUAACUCCGUG